This 233-nucleotide long non-coding RNA is filed under the name Lathyrus oleraceus (garden pea). RNAcentral describes it as "Pisum sativum (pea) long non-coding RNA (PSAT_LNC016374)". The record is from RNAcentral. Lineage: Eukaryota; Viridiplantae; Streptophyta; Magnoliopsida; Fabales; Fabaceae.
UUAUGAUUGUUUUUAAUUCAUUUAAAAUACCAUUUGAUAUUCAAAAAUGCCAAAAAUAUUUUCUUAACAUCUUUGGAUGAUGAUAAGUCUAUGAAAAAUAUUCUCAUAAAUUUCUUAAUUGAUUUGAGAUUUAUUUGUGAUUUUAGUCCAAUUAUGUUAUUUUUUAUUCAUUUUUAAUUGUUUAAAAUUAGUUUCUGUUUUCAAUAAAUGUUGAGAAAAUUUGUCAAACUUUG